RNAcentral lists this long non-coding RNA (151 nucleotides) under Chinchilla lanigera (long-tailed chinchilla). Its description in RNAcentral is "lncRNA (ENSCLAG00000023393.1)". Lineage: Eukaryota; Metazoa; Chordata; Mammalia; Rodentia; Chinchillidae. The record is from RNAcentral.
CUCUGUGCCAUGCUGACUGUAAGUUGCAACUUUUGAAUUCUCUAACUUCCGGCUGCUGGUGUUACCACGAUCAUUGUCAGUUUUGCAGGCGGAGGCGUGAGGAAGCAAUAGCAGAUGAGCAAAGUCUUGAAUAACAAGCAGAAACCUGGGC